CAAGAGGCGUCGAUUGCCCCGAGUUGUAUGGAAGACUAGUGAUUUUGUUGUUUUAUUGAAUUAACAAGGAAUCACUAAUCUCCCUACAAAGCGGUGGCCCUUGCUUCGGA
RNAcentral lists this microRNA precursor (110 nucleotides) under Plutella xylostella (diamondback moth). RNAcentral describes it as "microRNA pxy-mir-7b precursor". Its record names the gene pxy-mir-7b. The stretch from base 14 to 98 matches the Rfam family "mir-7 microRNA precursor family". Rfam says of the family: This family represents the microRNA (miRNA) precursor mir-7. In this case the mature sequence comes from the 5' arm of the precursor. Lineage: Eukaryota; Metazoa; Arthropoda; Insecta; Lepidoptera; Plutellidae. The record is from miRBase by way of RNAcentral.